RNAcentral lists this ribosomal RNA (255 nucleotides) under uncultured bacterium. RNAcentral's name for it is "partial 16S ribosomal RNA". It matches the Rfam family "Bacterial small subunit ribosomal RNA", at positions 524 to 776 of the family's 1533-position model. The record is from RNAcentral.
UACGUAGGGUGCAAGCGUUAAUCGGAAUUACUGGGCGUAAAGCGUGCGCAGGCGGCUAUGCAAGACAGAUGUGAAAUCCCCGGGCUUAACCUGGGAACUGCAUUUGUGACUGCAUGGCUAGAGUACGGGUAGAGGGGGAUGGAAUUCCGCGUGUAGCAGUGAAAUGCGUAGAUAUGCGGAGGAACACCGAUGGCGAAGGCAAUCCCCUGGACCUGUACUGACGCUCAUGCACGAAAGGCGUGGGGAGCAAACAGG